This is a non-coding RNA of Rattus norvegicus (Norway rat), 2460 nucleotides long. NCBI's taxonomy places the organism in Eukaryota, Metazoa, Chordata, Mammalia, Rodentia, Muridae. The record is from RefSeq and is a predicted model, not a curated record.
UCCCGGUCGGCCCCCUAAGUCCCUCUCCCCCCCCCCCCCCCGGGGGCUCUUGGCGGUGUCCAGUGACGUUGGAUGCCGCUGCCGCGAUGCCGCCUGGGACUUGUAGUCCCAAGCUACGAGGCCUUGGGUUCGUCCCAGGCUACAGGAACCUGCGUCCUUAGACCCUAUCUCCUAUCGGGGGAGAAUGAACCAACGCUUUCCACAAGCCCUGCUCAUGUUGGAAUUCACGUAGCUGACUCGUUUAGCCAAGAGAAACAUAGGAACUGAAUGAAUGGAGAUUACGGACCGGUACUCCUAAAGCGGUUCGGACAAGGUUCGCAGGACAGUCUCUCGGGUUCCAGACUGGAAGAUCGUAGAGUGUGAACUGACAGAAAACCUCCAUCAAACAUUCUAAGAAUGCUGAGGGGGAUUUUGUCUGCCCCUGGACUGUUUCCCUUACCUUAACCAAAUUGGUGGGGCAUUUUCCAGCCCCUCAGACACCCACCAUUGGAGUCUGACGGUAGACCUGGCACUCCCUACCUUCAGGCAUAUUGAAGUCAACAGGCAGAAGUGAGAGCCUUCCAUCCAUGUCUGGAACAUUUUUUGUUGGCCUCUAGUAGGAUUCUGUAUUUCCUUGGUGGUAAGGAGGACCUGUAACAGCUACUAACAAGCAUCUCAAGUGGGAUGGUGAGAAAAUAAGAAGAGAGUCCAGAAAACCAAACUGAUUCAGUCGGGAGCUUCCAUGAGCUCACCAAAGACAGAUGAAGGGGAGCGGUUUGCACAUCACUCUUCCUUCCCAACCACAGACAGAUGAAGGAGAGCAGAUCGAAAAUAAUGGCUAAGUCAAAGGUGCCCUCUGGAGGCCAGCCGACAUCAAAUGCCAGCCACUCUGAGGAGCAAAAAGUCUGCCAUGGUCCCUUCUUAACCUCAACUGACAAGUUGUGUGCUCUAGCCCUAACUUCAGUCCAGUGGCAACACAAAACAAAGACCUAAGACACACAGACAAAGACCACUCUGGAAAUACAGAUGGCUGGGAGGGCGUUCAGAUUUCUACAAUCCAGGAGAACUACAGAACUACCGUAUCCUCACUGGUACCCAGACAGGAAUCUCUCAGGCGUCCCUGGGGUUCCCCCAGACCUCCUGGGAUGUCUCCCAGGGCAACACAGUCGGUGAUCCCCUGGCACAUCUACCACUCACAUCAACCGUCCCUCCUGAGACACGCACCUCCGAUUCUACCUGAGACGAGAGCGACUGCAAAACCAGAACUCUCGAGCAAAUACAGACCCAGAGUUUAGCCAGCACGGAUAUACAAAGGCACAACACAAAGACACAGACGCUAUCUCACCUCCAAGUGGGCCUUUGGAGAUGAGGGUGGUCACAAAUCGCCGACAAGCCCCCAAAUUAAAGACCCCCAGAGAGGGGAGACCUCACUCAAGUCUUGGGAUGAUGUGAUCCCCCCCACACAAGAACUCACGUAAGACCUUCAUUGCUGUAAUCUACACGAGGUUUAUUGAUAGGAACCAGUGCACUGGGGUCGAGACUCGUAUCCCACGUAUCUCCACCCCAAGUGGCUGGGAGAAGGGGUAUUUAAAGGAAAAAACCCCCACAGAAACCACAACCUAAGGGGGUAGGGAUGGUGUCAUUGGAAAAUGUCGAGAAUACCAGUGAAAAAAAUCACAAAAAGAAACUCGCUGUUUCUCAAGAUUGUUUAACUUUAUGGUCUGCCAGUUCUCAGGAGAAGCUUCCUGUUUCUCAAGAUUGUUCUUUAAGAUUUUAAUCUAACUUCAUGGUGAGUUAGUUCUUGGGAGAGAGUUGCCAAACCAGCUGGUGUAAUUGCAGUUCCAGGGCCUGACCAGUUUCCUUCUUCUGCUCUAAACUUUUGUCUAGGGGGCAACCCUAAAACUUCUACCUUUCAAUCCCACUCCCCUACCUUUGGACAGUGGGCUAGCAGUGGGUGGUUGAAGAGUUUGAGAACUGUUAUUAAAAGUAGUUUUAAAAAACCUAAACCUACAGUUCUCUGUGAGGUUGAGGCUAGCAUGGUUUACAUAGUUAGUUCCAGUACAGCCAGGCUAUGGAACAAGAUCCUGUCUCAGAAUAAGAAUAAGAAUAAGAAUAAGAAUAAGAAUAAGAAUAAGAAUAAGAAUAAGAAUAAGAAUAAGAAUAAGAAUAAGAAUAAGACAGAGAAGGAGGAGGAGGACAACAUGUUAUGAAAACUUAAGUAAUCCUCAGCCACGUACUAAAUAUUGGGACAGCAUGGGCUACAUGAGACUAUGUCUCAAAACAAAACAGAUAUAUAAAAAUGAGAUGGCUCAGUGGUUAAGAACACUAGCAGUUCUUCCAGAGGUCCUGAGUUCAAUUCCCAGCAACCACAUGGUGGCUCGUGACCAUCUAAAGGGAUCUAAUGCCCUCUUCUGGCUUGAAGGUAUAUGUAGGCAGAGAACUACAUUUAAAAUAAGUAAAUAAAUAAAUUUUUAUUAAAAA